Molecule: long non-coding RNA, 214 nt
Filed under: Ananas comosus (pineapple)
Lineage: Eukaryota; Viridiplantae; Streptophyta; Magnoliopsida; Poales; Bromeliaceae
Description: long non-coding RNA (ACOM_LNC005005)
Source: RNAcentral
AGGAGCUAUUGUUCUUUUGUAUCUCCGCUGUUAGUGCGUAGUGGAUACUCAGAUUAGUGUAGGUUGAGUUUACGCUCGUGCUGAGGGGCGGAGCUGGUUUUACAGUAGCGUUUGGACUGUUUCGUACUGUCGGGUGCCGUCGGGGCAGAUAUGGACUCAGAUGUUUGCAUCUUGUUUCAGAUGGUGCCGAGGGCACGUGAGCAUUGGUUGUUGG